GAGGAUAAAAGGCGCAGGAACCUUCCACUCCUUCCAUUUUCUUCUCCCAUCCAACCGAGGAUGCCGAUGACUCGAAUGUGCUGCUUUGAAAUGCAGGACAGAUGCCGGGAAGUCCAGAAGAAUGACACGUCUGCAUUACUUGUGACAUGACUUCCUGACUUCAAGGCAUCUGAACAGAAUCUCCACUUGGAGUUCCAUUCUGGAAUAGGAAUGUGUGCUGAAUACCUGAUUCCAGACAACGAGACUGAUGCGCUUUGAAAAUCCAGACGUGGGGAUGAAGUUUCCUGAAGGGAUUAACACUGCCUUCACUGGGUUUGGGUGCUGUGGUCCGUGGCAUUGCAGCGUGGACUCCAACGUACUGGUUCUUCUGUAUGUGGCUGAACAGGGAGCCGUGAUGCCAACUAGACUGGUCCUGAUGGUGGUACCAGACUGGUCACUAGAAGAUGCCUGGUACUGAACUACCUCAAGGUCCUGACUGUUGUACCAGACUGGCCACUAGAAGGAAGCUCUUUGCUGUGACAGUGAAUGAAGUUGAUGUCCUUGUGGGUCUGCAGUCUUCAGGCAGGUCUUGACUGUUCCAGCCUGGCCACUGGAGAACUGUUGCUGCACGACCUCAAGGUUUCUGCCCCUCUGGUUGAGGUGCUGGUGUCUGCAGGGUUUGGAAAGAUCUGAUUGGCUGCUGAAGUGUUGCUGUGCUGGUGGAGUGGGAAGCUCUCCUGUUUUACACCGGCAAGACCUCUUUACACUCCUGAUUGGUCAGCAAGGACAUCUCGAUGGAACUGGGGGAAACCAGGCCAAGUCGAUUCAACUUCACGACUGUGUUUUGAUGUAUGAAUAAAUCUACAAAUGAA
Molecule: long non-coding RNA, 851 nt
Organism: Oncorhynchus gorbuscha (pink salmon)
Lineage: Eukaryota; Metazoa; Chordata; Actinopteri; Salmoniformes; Salmonidae
Exons: 15
Source: RefSeq, a predicted model, not a curated record